RNAcentral lists this signal recognition particle RNA (99 nucleotides) under Galactobacillus timonensis. RNAcentral describes it as "signal recognition particle sRNA small type". It matches the Rfam family "Bacterial small signal recognition particle RNA". Rfam says of the family: The signal recognition particle (SRP) is a universally conserved ribonucleoprotein involved in the co-translational targeting of proteins to membranes. Archaeal SRP consists of a 7S RNA and homologues of the eukaryotic SRP19 and SRP54 proteins. In most bacteria, the SRP consists of a 4.5S RNA and the Ffh protein (a homologue of the eukaryotic SRP54 protein). RNAcentral also lists the same sequence under 1 other name. The record is from RNAcentral. Lineage: Bacteria; Bacillati; Bacillota; Erysipelotrichia; Erysipelotrichales; Erysipelotrichaceae.
UAAUAAACACGGUACAGCAAGCAUGUAUAGAACUUGGUCAGGUCCGGAAGGAAGCAGCCAUACAAACCUCUGCUUGCGUGUGCCGUUUUUUUAUGAAAA